UAACUCUCAACAACGGAUAUCUCGGCUCUCGUAACGAUGAAGAACGCAGCGAAAUGCGAUACGUAGUGUGAAUUGCAGAAUUCCGUGAAUCAUCAAGUUUUUGAACGCAAAUUGCGCCCGAGACCUCGGUCAAGGGCAUGCCUGUCUGAGCGUCGCC
This 157-nucleotide ribosomal RNA is filed under the name Entransia fimbriata. RNAcentral's name for it is "5.8S ribosomal RNA". It matches the Rfam family "5.8S ribosomal RNA". From Rfam's summary of the family: 5.8S ribosomal RNA (5.8S rRNA) is a component of the large subunit of the eukaryotic ribosome. It is transcribed by RNA polymerase I as part of the 45S precursor that also contains 18S and 28S rRNA. The record is from RNAcentral. Lineage: Eukaryota; Viridiplantae; Streptophyta; Klebsormidiophyceae; Entransiales; Entransiaceae.